Molecule: non-coding RNA, 784 nt
Organism: Odocoileus virginianus texanus
Lineage: Eukaryota; Metazoa; Chordata; Mammalia; Artiodactyla; Cervidae
Source: RefSeq, a predicted model, not a curated record
CUAAGCGCAGCACACACAAGCCAUUCCAGAUCAUGUGAUCACUCAAAUGCUGUGAUAUGAAUUGGAGAGCUGUUUGGAGAGAAUUUAGAACCAGACUUCUACCAGGCAAAAUGGCAUUCAUCCUAGGCUAGAGAGAAUCGGAGUGAUGAGCAGAGUGCACAAAAGAUGUCCUGUUAUCAUCACCCAAAGGAAUGUUUUAAUUGGUCGCUCAUCCUUUUCAGAAAGCUGAGUCAUUCUCCAGUUAGCUGUAAGGUAGAUUCUUGCAAUCAGAUAGAAAUCAAAUAUCAGACAUCCUAUUUUCUGUGUUUUUGUAUCCCCCACAAUGUCUUGGCAGUGGUUUUGGGAGAGAUAUAAAUAAAUGAAUGGUUGGAUAAGCCAAUGGAAUUAAACUUUUCAAACUGAGGUGUGGAGACAGAGGGAAAAUAACAUGAGAAUGGAAUAAUCUGUAAUAAAGGAGAGAGCAGGAUUUCUCAGCCUCAGCAGUAAUGAUAACUUGGGGAGGAAAGUUUUUGUUUCUGUUUAGAGGGAGGAGAGUAUGAGCUACACUGUGCUAUGGAGGAUGUUUGGUAGCAACCUUGACCUGUAUACACCAGAUGCUGGUAGUGACCACAAGAUAUGUCUCCAGUCAUUGCCAAAUGUCCUUCGGUGCCAAAGAAGAGAAGCAAGAGCGGUGUGUGGAGUAAGGCAAAAUCACCCCUGGUUGAGAAUCACUGAACCAAUUUCUUUUUAGCCAGAAGAUCUGGGAAUAAUCAGAGUUCUUUUAAUAAACACGAGGCAGAAUGUA